This 828-nucleotide ribosomal RNA is filed under the name Triticum aestivum (bread wheat). RNAcentral's name for it is "partial small subunit ribosomal RNA". The record is from RNAcentral. Lineage: Eukaryota; Viridiplantae; Streptophyta; Magnoliopsida; Poales; Poaceae.
AUGGGAAAGCGGCAGGAAAGGGAGAAAGAUGAGGGCGGCGACGGAAAGAGGAGGAAGGUCGCGGCUGCGGCCCCCGUCUUCACCAUGGACGACCUUGACAUCCUCCACUGCGCCGUCUGCUGCGACCCCCUGCGCCCUCCCAUUUCCCAGUGCUCUACGGGUCGUCAUACCAUCUGUUCGUCCUGCCAGGACAAGCUCCCAGGCAAGUGCUGCUACUGCUGCGAAACAACAGUCUACAGUCGCUGCCGCGGGAUAGAAAAUAUGAUUGAAUCCCUCAAAGUUGCUUGCCCCAAUAAUGGAUGCACUGCAAGGAUAAAAUACUACCAAAAAGAAGAGCAUGAGGAAGUUUGCCCGCAGGCGCCAUGCUUCUGCCCCAUAGCCGACUGCAGCUUCAGCGGACCAACCGCAACGCUCUUGGAGCAUUUCUCAAGCAAGCACAAGCUGGACUCCACAAAAGUUUCGUACAACAAGGGGUUCGGGAUCCUCAUCAGCUUCAAUGUUAACGGCGAUCUUCCAGAACCAACCAUUCUUGUGGGUGAGGAUGGAUACCUCUUCAUUGUCUACAUGAAGACAGAGUCCCUCGGCCUUGGCAUCGCAGUCUGCUGCGUCCAGCCCCACAUUACAACUGGAUCCAAGUUCAAGUGCAAUCUGUCAUUGUCGUCGGCUGAGACGGGCUACUCCCAGGCUACAGAGUUUCACACAAGGAACACUAACCUGUAUGAUGGGUUUCCCGAUGACUGCUUCCUAUUCCUUGUGCCCAAGGCGAUGCCUCCAGGCGCUGGUACAAGUGACACGGUCCUGGUGAGUAUGGAACUCACGCCACAGUAG